GACACCGGUAAGGAACGGCUCACACAGGGCAGUGACACCGGUAAGGAACAGCUCACACAGGGCAGUGACACCGGUAAGGAACGGCUCACACAGGGCAGUGACACCGGUAAGGAAAGGCUCACACAGGGCAGUGACACCGGUAAGGAACGGCUCACACAGGGCAGUGACACCGGUAAGGAACGGCUCACACAGGGCAGUGACACCGGUAAGGAACAGCUCACACAGGGCAGUGACACCGGUAAGGAACGGCUCACACAGGCAUCACACCCAGGGGGACAGAAGGAAACUUCAAGAAUAAGAGUUCACAACUGGUGUUCCUGGUUGGAAAUGGAGCUGUUGGAGUCCUGAGAUGCCGGUGGGUUGGGAAGCCCUGUGGAGAGUUCCAAAUGCUCUCUGCACCCAGAAGUUCAUUGUCCAACAGUUUUCCUACAAGGACAUUGCAGAAGAAUCCAUAAGGCACACGUCAGAUAAAUGCCUGCUCAAGAUCCGAAGUAGAAUCAGACUAACAAAAUGAAAACAGUGAUUGUGUUCUGUGAUCCAGUGCAAUGAAAUUCUAAAAAUCGAGAGGAGGAAUUAUCAAGGAGUCCCAGCCAUUUCUACAUUCAGGGAUUGCAUGA
Pipra filicauda (Wire-tailed manakin) is the source of this 617-nucleotide long non-coding RNA. RefSeq lists it as uncharacterized. The record is from RefSeq and is a predicted model, not a curated record. The transcript has 4 exons. NCBI's taxonomy places the organism in Eukaryota, Metazoa, Chordata, Aves, Passeriformes, Pipridae.